RNAcentral lists this ribosomal RNA (259 nucleotides) under uncultured bacterium. RNAcentral's name for it is "partial 16S ribosomal RNA". It matches the Rfam family "Bacterial small subunit ribosomal RNA", at positions 91 to 354 of the family's 1533-position model. The record is from RNAcentral.
ACGAGUGGCGGACGGGUGAGUAAUGUCUGGGAAACUGCCCGGUGAGGGGGAUAACUACUGGAAACGGUAGCUAAUACCGCAUAACGUCGCAAGACCAAAGAGGGGGACCUUCGGGCCUCUUGCCACCGGAUGUGCCCAGAUGGGAUUAGCUUGUUGGUGGGGUAACGGCUCACCAAGGCGACGAUCCCUAGCUGGUCUGAGAGGAUGACCAGCCACACUGGAACUGAGACACGGUCCAGACUCCUACGGAAGGCAGCAG